CUAGUAACGGCGAGUGAAGAGGAAAGAGCUCAAAGUUGUAACCUAUUUGGCUUAGCCAAAUCGGAUUGUAGACUGGAGAAGUGUUUUAUGGCACACCGGGCAAAGAAGUCCCUUGGAACAGGGCAUCAUAGAGGGUGAGAAUCCCGUGACUUUGCCUGAGCAUAGUUGUCAACUUUAAUACACUUUCAAAGAGUCAGGUUGUUUGGGAAUGCAGCCUAAAUUGGGUGGUAAAUCUCACCUAAAGCUAAAUAUUGGCGAGAGACCGAUAGCGAACAAGUACCGUGAGGGAAAGAUGAAAAGAACUUUGAAAAGAGAGUUAAACAGUACGUGAAAUUGUUAAAAGGGAACCGUUUGGAGCCAGACCGGCUUUACCGUAAUCAAUCUAGGUUUCGACCUGGAUGCACUUGCGGUAUGUGCCUGCCAACGACAGUUUUUUCUAAGGGAAAAAAUUAAGAGGAAUGUGGCCCCUCGGGGUGUUAUAGCCUUUUAAAAAAUACCUUGGAUUGGACUGAGGAACGCAGCGAAUGCCAUUAGGCAAGAUUGCUGGGCGCUUUAACUGAUAGAAGCUAGAAUUUCUGCCUUGGGUGGUGCUAGUUUCUAAAGGGUAAACUCGCUUAGUAUAUUUUUUAUUCGCUUAGGUUG
RNAcentral lists this ribosomal RNA (642 nucleotides) under Benjaminiella multispora. RNAcentral describes it as "LSU rRNA". It matches the Rfam family "Eukaryotic large subunit ribosomal RNA", at positions 80 to 628 of the family's 3401-position model. Lineage: Eukaryota; Fungi; Mucoromycota; Mucoromycetes; Mucorales; Mucoraceae. The record is from RNAcentral.